RNAcentral lists this ribosomal RNA (547 nucleotides) under uncultured bacterium. RNAcentral describes it as "partial 16S ribosomal RNA". It matches the Rfam family "Bacterial small subunit ribosomal RNA", at positions 355 to 895 of the family's 1533-position model. The record is from RNAcentral.
UGGGGAAUAUUGCACAACGGGCGCAAGCCUGAUGCAGCCAUGCCGCGUGUGUGAAGAAGGCCUUCGGGUUGUAAAGCACUUUCAGCGAGGAGGAAGGUGGUGGACUUAAUACGUUCAUCAAUUGACGUUACUCGCAGAAGAAGCACCGGCUAACUCCGUGCCAGCAGCCGCGGUAAUACGUAGGGUGCAAGCGUUAAUCGGAAUUACUGGGCGUAAAGCGUGCGCAGGCGGUUUGCUAAGACCGAUGUGAAAUCCCCGGGCUCAACCUGGGAACUGCAUUGGUGACUGGCAGGCUAGAGUAUGGCAGAGGGGGGUAGAAUUCCACGUGUAGCAGUGAAAUGCGUAGAGAUGUGGAGGAAUACCGAUGGCGAAGGCGGCCCCUGGACGAAGACUGACGCUCAGGUGCGAAAGCGUGGGGAGCAAACAGGAUUAGAUACCCUGGUAGUCCACGCUGUAAACGAUGUCGAUUUGGAGGUUGUGCCCUUGAGGCGUGGCUUCCGGAGCUAACGCGUUAAAUCGACCGCCUGGGGAGUACGGCCGCAAGGUU